This 674-nucleotide long non-coding RNA is filed under the name Pongo abelii (Sumatran orangutan). Its description in RNAcentral is "lincRNA". The record is from RNAcentral. Lineage: Eukaryota; Metazoa; Chordata; Mammalia; Primates; Hominidae.
CACUCAGCUUUCUGAAAUGGUGUCCCACCACAAGGACUGGAGAAGGGACUUUACUGAAGACUCUAAGGAGGACCUGUAUCUGUUGGGAUCCUUAGGGCAAGCCACAGAAACAAGCUUUGGAUACUUGAAGCAGAAAAUGGAGUUAUUGAAGACUAUUGUGGAGUUUACUGUGAGACAGAGAGCCAGGCUGGGGAGCUGUACCACUUAGAAUGAGAUCCAAACUCACACCAUAGUUCCAUCCUUGAGGUCACCAUGUUGCUGCCACCCCUCCUGCCACACCGCCACUGAAGCUUUGGAUGCUGGAUUCUGGGCACAGCUGGGAGAAGUGUUGCUUAUUACCAUUUUAAUAUGUUUUCUUUCAAGACCUUUUCAAAAUAUACAUACGUAUUUUUAUUUCUAUUCAAAAUGGGAUACAUUUUUGAAGGUUAGCAAUAUAUUGUGAACAUUUUCUUUCCAUGCUCAGAAACAUUUUUCUAUAGUAUAAUUUAUAGUGAUAUAUAGUAAACUAUCGCAUAGACCUACCAUGGUUUACCUAACAAAUCCCAAAUCAUUUGUGCCAUUUCUAAAUUUUUAUUAUCUUAUGCAAUGCUUUAAUGAACAUCCUUGCAUUUAUAUUUUAUACAAUUUUAGAAGUUGAAUUACUGGUUCAAAAUACAUGGUGAUUUUUAAUUCUU